This is a non-coding RNA of Odocoileus virginianus texanus, 908 nucleotides long. Lineage: Eukaryota; Metazoa; Chordata; Mammalia; Artiodactyla; Cervidae. The record is from RefSeq and is a predicted model, not a curated record.
GAAAGGCAGGGGGUGUAUCUGACAGCUGGAGGAGGGCCCGUCACACGGUUAUGAAAUCCAGCCUCUGAAAUAACUGGCCGUGGGCCAGAACCAGAGCCAGGUGCAGUGACCACCACGGAGCUGACACCUGGAUUUUUGGUGGACACACGUCAGUCUGCAGCAGCAGCGAGGUAAACCGGCAAUGACUAUGCCAUGUGAAAAACGCUGCGUGGACCGCCUCGGAAGCAUCAGAGGAGAGAUGGCCCUUAACCAGCCCCAAGGGUCAGGAAGCAGCCUGGGGACCAGGCGGAGGCUGCUGCCAAGGUCCGGGCAAGAGACGAGGAAGACCAGGGAAGGCUAUGGAGCUCCGCCCCCUACAGCUUUCCAACCAAGAGCAGCUUCGGUGAAGGUGGACCUGGCGUGGAGGUGAACUCCCAUGGAGGGUCAGGAAUCACAGGGCAGUGGUCAUGGUCUGGAGCAAAGAGGAAGCCAUGGAGGCACCGCGAACUUGGGAGGGGACCAUCAAGAGAGGUAGGAUGCCUGGGUUGGGACCCUCGCUCUGCCGCAUGGAGUUUUACCCCUCGGAAGCGUCCUUCACCUUCCUGCACCCCUAUUUCCCCAUCUGUGAAGUGGAAGUCUCUCCCCAAGGAGUGUGGUGAGGACUGAAGUAGUGCUUCAAGUAGUAACACUUCUCACUUUGUACCCAGGCAAUGAGAGGUAUUGCUACUAUUUUUAUUACUGUUAUCACUGAUGGGAUGCUGAUGUGAUAAGCAGCCAGAGUGGACAUUGUCCACCGAGUAAAGUCCAGCGCCCUGGGCCCCACAUGCUCUGACUCACCUUUCCCAUCAUCCCCUAAGGACUGGAUGACCUUUCAGCAGAUGCUCAACCAGCAGGUUGAAUAAAGGAGAGAAUAAACCCAAUGCAUGCUC